RNAcentral lists this ribosomal RNA (403 nucleotides) under uncultured bacterium. RNAcentral describes it as "bacterial SSU rRNA". It matches the Rfam family "Bacterial small subunit ribosomal RNA", at positions 355 to 775 of the family's 1533-position model. The record is from RNAcentral.
UGGGGAAUAUUGCACAAUGGGGGAAACCCUGAUGCAGCAACGCCGCGUGAGUGAUGACGGCCUUCGGGUUGUAAAGCUCUGUCUUCAGGGACGAUAAUGACGGUACCCGAGGAGGAAGCCACGGCUAACUACGUGCCAGCAGCCGCGGUAAUACGUAGGUGGCAAGCGUCGUCCGUAUUUACUGGGCGUAAAGGGAGCGUAGGCGGACUUUUAAGUGAGAUGUGAAAUACCCGGGCUCAACCUGGGUGCUGCAUUUCAAACUGGAAGUCUAGAGUGCAGGAGAGGAGAGUGGAAUUCCUAGUGUAGAGGUGAAAUGCGUAGAGAUUAGGAAGAACACCAGUGGCGAAGGCGACUCUCUGGUCUGUAACUGACGCUGAGGCUCGAAAGCGUGGGGAGCAAACAG